Molecule: long non-coding RNA, 4284 nt
Organism: Herpailurus yagouaroundi (jaguarundi)
Lineage: Eukaryota; Metazoa; Chordata; Mammalia; Carnivora; Felidae
Exons: 11
Source: RefSeq, a predicted model, not a curated record
ACGUAUACAUAUAUGUCAAUUUAUGUAUAUAUACACAUAUAUAUAUAUACAUACACCGCAUUUAUAUUUUACAAAAUUAUGACUUUACGUAUAAAUAAUUUGACAUAAUUUGAGUGUUCUUUUGACAUUCAACAUCUACCUAUAUUAUGAGCACUUUGCCACAUUAUUAAAAACUCUCCUAAAACUUUUAAAAUCAUGUGGAAACAACAUAUUGUAGCCAUUCUCUCACGGGUGGAUAUUUAUGCGUUUUCACCGUUAAUGUGACGUUGAACAAUUCUGUACAUAAGUCUUAGCAUCUCUCUGAUGAUUUUCUGAGGGUAGGGCCUUAGACGCGGAAUUUAAGGGGUUAAAUAUUUCAAGGCUGAUAAACACUGCCAAAUUGCUCUGCAGAGCGAUUCUGAAUUUAUUCCUAUCAGCACUGUGUGACCGUGUCCAUUUCUCCCUGGCCACCACUGUGUUUUAACAUUUAAAAAAUGAUCAUGAACAGUUGUAUGUGUCUUAUGACAUGAACACUCCAUUGAGGCACUGACAUGGAGACUUUAAAAGCAGCAGAGCCCAAGGCUAUGGUUACUGCUUGCUUUUUCUUUUUGGCUACCCCCUGGUUCCUCAAAAGGAUGUAAGGGAACAGAAGCCAGCAGUGCCCCAACAGGUGUCUACUUGUUUACAAAUGAAGUGUUUGCAAAUUACAAUGGAUGUUAAUGAAUUCUUACAGUAAAUGUAAAUCUUACAGUAAAAUGAGUAUGAGUAAUCACGGUCUGAUUAUCUCUGGUAAUUCAUAUUUUCAUAUACCAUUUUGCUUAAAGAAUCUUGCCUGAGGAUUUAAUACCUAUAAAAAGGAAGAGAAACUUAGAAAGACGUUACUACCUUGGAAAUGAAGACCUUAACAGAGUACCCCCCCGCCCCCAGCCAGUACUGUUUCACUUCAACCACCUUGGCUGUGAAUGGGAGGGGUCUCAGAAGACGUCCUGGAGCCAGUCUCCACGUGCCUGGAUCUCUUGGUAAAUCACACCCUGUGGCUGUGUGUGCUACCUUGAAUAGCAGCAUCUCUCCAGCCUCCCCUUGGGACAGUACAUGCACUGGCAUCUCUGAAAGAGGGGCCCGGAUGCUCAAAUGCUAGGCCAUAAACAGCCUCAGACAAACCACACACGCCAUGCACUAAUGCAGAAUCUGAUGGGAACAGCCGGUAUGGACCAACAGCACGGCCUGGCCCACUGAAGCAGAUGUCUGAAGCAGACAGAAACACCCUCCCUUGCCACUGUAACUAAGGCGUGACCAAUGCACAGAAUCGACACAGUCAAACCAGCUGCCCCAGAUGCUCCCGUCCACGGAGGCGUGGUUCAGUGCAAUCACCAGAUGAAUUUCGCUUGCAACACUGGUCGUCUGUUAAUCUACAGCACAAUCACUGACUGUCAAAGGAAGUUUUGUAAGAAGUUCCCAGCAGGAAAGGAAAAAAAGAAAGUUCACAAAAAGAAAGGAAAUGGACCCAUAUUUUAAAUCACUAGUUGCUACGGUGAUCUGUGACCGGUGAUCUUUGCUGUUACUAUUGUGACUGUUCUGAGGCCCCACGAACCACACCCACACAAGAUGGUGAACUUAGCAACUGCUGGGUGUGUUUGACUGCUGCACCUCCCUGCACAGCAUCUUCCUGUCCUCGGCAAACGUCACUGUCGUCUUAUCCUAGGAAACGGCCACGGCCACCCCCACCUUCAGCGACCACCGCCCUGAUCAGUCAGCAGCCACCAACAUGGAGGCAAAGACCCUCCACCAGCAGAUGACUCACCGAGACCUUCGACAGUGGUUGGCAGUUUUUGCAAUAAAGCAUUUUAAUAUUAAGGAUUCUACCAGGCCCCCCCAUCCGUCCUCCGCUCCCUACAAGUGGCUGCCCAGGACCCCAUCUGCACAGAGGGAACAAAACCAGUAACCAGUGGCCAAGAAUAGAGGUGACCACGAGGGCCGGCCAGAAACCCUCAGACUGAGCUCCAGGGAGCCACGGGAGUCACAACUGCACAGACCUUUCAGGAGGACAAGGAAGGAGGGCCAGGUGGAAGUGUGUGGCCCGACCUGCGGCCAGAGUGAAGCCAGCUCCCUACACCCAAGGCCAGCAAGCCGGCGUCCACCCCACACCCGGGAGCUAAGGCUUUCGUAAAAGGUUUGGUGGGAAGGAAGCUUCAACUAAUCCAACUAUUUCAAACCUAACUGAAUGUCUGCUAUGCACAAGGCCCUGUGCUGGGCAAGACAAUACUCAGUAUAUCCCGUUUCAGACCAGCCACCUUUCAAGGACUCAGCAGCCACAGCGCCAGUGGCAUCUGUAUCGGACUUACCCCUCCUGUCAUGCUGACCCGGAUUCAGUUGCGCUCUCUGCUGGCUGCUGUUAAGAAUGGGUGUGGCAGUUACAUCGCUAAUAAGCUUGUUCAAAUGUCCUGAGGGACUCUACCGUGUUUCCAGCGUCGUUCUAAGACGUGGUCACACAAAGAUGAAUGACAAGUACAUCUUGCCCGAGAAGACCACCGUCUGGCGUGAGAACGAGAUAUGUAAACAGUUACCGUACAAGGCGUAAAAGAUCUAUGUACAGAUUGCCGUAGGGACCAACAGUUCCAUCUGGAGGAACCAAGAAAAGCUUCAGAGAGGAGCAGCUGUCUGAAGAACAUAGAGCCCUUUAUGGAUGGGGAAACUGAGGCUCAAAGAGGCGAGAUGACGUGCCCAAAGUCAAAAGAGAAGGUGAACCUGAAUCCAGAUUUUCUCUCAGUCACUAUACCCGGGAUGCCACGGCUGACCACGCACCACGUUGGGCGCCUUAGAAAUGGCGGAUGAUUUAGCCACUUGACUCGCGCAGGAAGCUGAGGUCUGGAGUUCUACUCCAUGCCCAUCAGUAAGUAUUAAAUUCCUAUCUUGAAAGAGGGUUGGACAUGACUUAAAAGGUAUUCAGACAGUAAAGUUGUUUGGUUUUUUAUUUGGUGGUGGUGGGGUGUGCGUGUGUGUGUGCGUGUGUGUGUGUGUGUGUGUGUGUGUGUUUUAGGAACAUCCAUCUUGCAAGCCGUGAAGAUAAUACUGUAGCUGUGAAAUUUGACCCCAAGCUUCCUGCAAGGAAAAAUAGACACCUGGAGCCACUGGAGUUUGAGGUGUUUUGUCAUGUAGCAGCAGAUACCCGAAAAAUGGACACCUGGGAAGGAGACGGAGGAAAUGUAAGCCUCACACACCAGAUUCCUCCUGAGGGAGACAAGGUGCAGGCCCGAGUUCACAGCAAAUAAAUGCGAACCAGAGGAGACAUCGGAUGGGCGUUCAGGGACAGCACCGAGAACCAUGCAGAGAGUCGGACACGAACACGGAAGGGCCAGGAGCAAGGGUGUCCCUGUGCAGCAUUAACCAGGAAGCCUGCUCUCCCAGGAUGCACCCGUACGUGAUGAGGAAGCAUCUGGAGCUACUCUGGACGCCCCAGACCUCAGGUCUCCCAUCUCAAAGCCUCGUGUAUCUCUUGAGUUACGAGGAAAGGCCAAUAUGGGAUAACAUCUCUGAUUUCUUGUGAGCCUGAUAGAAGGAUCUCGCAUUUGGGAUUAUCUAAGGCCACCAUGUGCCCUUGGAGCCACCAUGCUGCGAGGAAGCCUAAUCACAUGGGGAGGCUCACGUGGAAAGAAAACAAGGUUCUGGGCCCUCAAGUCCAACGAGCUCCCAGCCAACAGCCAGCAUCAACUUGCCAGCCACGUGAGUGAGCCCUUCUUGGAAAGAGAUCCUCUAGUCCUAGUCAAGACACCCCAGAUGAUUCUGGGAGGAGCAGACACGACCAUUUCCUGCCAAGUCCUGCCCACGUUCCAGAUUCAUGAGAAAAACAAGUAAUCGUUCAAGCCGCUGGGUUUGGGGCUGGUUUCUUACACUGUAUAUUACUGUGUAACUAUCCAUGAGCAACACCCAUGUAACUAUCACCACCUCUAGAUAAAGAAAAUUUCUGUUAGCCCAGAAGUUUCCCUCAGGCACCCUUCCAGUCAACCACCCCAACCAGCAAAAGGUAAUUGCUCCUUUGACCUCUAGCAACACAUAUGACUUUUGCCUAUUGUGAAGCUUCAUAUAAAUGGAAAUGUGAUGUGUUUUUAUGUUUUAUGUAUUGAGCUUCUUUAGCUCAAUAGGUUUAUGAAAUUAAUUCAGGUUGUUUCAGGAGUGGGGUUUAUUCUUUUUCAUCCAUUAUACGAAUAUACCACCAUUUAUCUCUUCUACUAUUGGUAAUCAUUUGGCCAUUUAUUUUUUUAUUAUUUUAUAUAUACUGUAUAUUUUUAAAGUUUUUUGUUUACUUAU